GUGGGGAAUAUUGGACAAUGGGCGCAAGCCUGAUCCAGCAAUGCCGCGUGGGUGAAGAAGGCCUUCGGGUUGUAAAGCCCUUUUGUACGGGAAGAAAUCAUUUGGGUUAAUACCCUGGGUGGAUGACGGUACCGUAAGAAUAAGCACCGGCUAACUUCGUGCCAGCAGCCGCGGUAAUACGAAGGGUGCAAGCGUUAAUCGGAAUUACUGGGCGUAAAGCGUGCGUAGGUGGUUGUUCAAGUCUGUCGUGAAAGCCCUGGGCUCAACCUGGGAAUGGCGAUGGAAACUGGGCGACUAGAGUGCGGUAGAGGAUGGCGGAAUUCCCGGUGUAGCGGUGAAAUGCGUAGAGAUCGGGAGGAACAUCCGUGGCGAAGGCGGCCAUCUGGACUGAUACUGACACUGAGGUGCGAAAGCGUGGGGAGCAAACAGGAUUUGAAACCCUUGUAGUCC
This 450-nucleotide ribosomal RNA is filed under the name uncultured bacterium. RNAcentral's name for it is "partial 16S ribosomal RNA". It matches the Rfam family "Bacterial small subunit ribosomal RNA", at positions 354 to 796 of the family's 1533-position model. The record is from RNAcentral.